RNAcentral lists this ribosomal RNA (253 nucleotides) under uncultured bacterium. RNAcentral's name for it is "partial 16S ribosomal RNA". It matches the Rfam family "Bacterial small subunit ribosomal RNA", at positions 524 to 776 of the family's 1533-position model. The record is from RNAcentral.
UACGGAGGGGGCUAGCGUUGUUCGGAAUUACUGGGCGUAAAGCGCACGUAGGCGGCUUUGUAAGUCAGAGGUGAAAGCCUGGAGCUCAACUCCAGAACUGCCUUUAAGACUGCAUCGCUUGAAUCCAGGAGAGGUUAGUGGAAUUCCGAGUGUAGAGGUGAAAUUCGUAGAUAUUCGGAAGAACACCAGUGGCGAAGGCGACUAACUGGACAUGUAUUGACGCUGAGGUGCGAAAGCGUGGGGAGCAAACAGG